CAGGACGUCAUAGAGAGGAUACCUUUUCUCUGUAAGACUUUUUCGAAGAGUCGAGUUGUUUGGGAAUGCAGCUCAAAGUGGGUGGUAAAUUCCAUCUAAAGCUAAAUAUUGGCGAGAGACCGAUAGCGAACAAGUACAGUGAUGGAAAGAUGAAAAGAACUUUGAAAAGAGAGUGAAAAAGUACGUGAAAUUGUUGAAAGGGAAGGGCAUUUGAUCAGACAUGGUGUUUUUUGCAUGCACUCGCCUCUCGUGGGCUUGGGCCUCUCAAAAAUUUCACUGGGCCAACAUCAAUUCUGGCAGCAGGAUAAAUCAUUAAGAAUGUAGCUACUUCGGUAGUGUUAUAGCUUUUUGGAAUACUGUUAGCCGGGAUUGAGGACUGCGCUUCGGCAAGGAUGUUGGCAUAAUGGUUAAAUGCCGCCCGUCUUAACA
Molecule: ribosomal RNA, 429 nt
Filed under: Hanseniaspora uvarum
Lineage: Eukaryota; Fungi; Ascomycota; Saccharomycetes; Saccharomycodales; Saccharomycodaceae
Description: eukaryotic LSU rRNA
Rfam family: Eukaryotic large subunit ribosomal RNA
Source: RNAcentral